CCUACGGGGUGCAGCAGUGGGGAAUAUUGGACAAUGGGCGAAAGCCUGAUCCAGCCAUGCCGCGUGUGUGAAGAAGGCCUUCGGGUUGUAAAGCACUCUCAGUGGGGAAGAAAGCCUUGGGGCUAAUACCCUCGAGGAAGGACAUCACCCACAGAAGAAGCACCGGCUAACUCCGUGCCAGCAGCCGCGGUAAUACGGAGGGUGCGAGCGUUAAUCGGAAUUACUGGGCGUAAAGCGCGCGUAGGCGGUCUGAUAAGCCGGUUGUGAAAGCCCCGGGCUCAACCUGGGAACGGCAUCCGGAACUGUCAGGCUAGAGUGCAGGAGAGGAAGGUAGAAUUCCCGGUGUAGCGGUGAAAUGCGUAGAGAUCGGGAGGAGUACCAGUGGCGAAGGCGGCCUUCUGGACUGACACUGACGCUGAGGUGCGAAAGCGUGGGUAGCAAACAGGAUUAGAUACCCCAGUAGUC
RNAcentral lists this ribosomal RNA (465 nucleotides) under Vreelandella stevensii. RNAcentral describes it as "partial 16S ribosomal RNA". It matches the Rfam family "Bacterial small subunit ribosomal RNA", at positions 338 to 795 of the family's 1533-position model. The record is from RNAcentral. Lineage: Bacteria; Pseudomonadati; Pseudomonadota; Gammaproteobacteria; Oceanospirillales; Halomonadaceae.